Molecule: ribosomal RNA, 723 nt
Filed under: Triticum aestivum (bread wheat)
Lineage: Eukaryota; Viridiplantae; Streptophyta; Magnoliopsida; Poales; Poaceae
Description: partial small subunit ribosomal RNA
Source: RNAcentral
AUGGACGAAGCUUACCACCCACAAAGAGCAUCCUCCAUGACAAAACAAGUUAAGAAAAAGGGCAAGCAUCCAGCCCUAAAUUUUAAUCAUGGGAGCGGAAGCAGCUCGCAGGAAAAUCUUAUCGUUUACAUCCUGAGGCGACCAAUGCUUGAAACAGUUACUGAAACAAUUCGUUUGAAAGUACAAGGUUAUACAUGUUGGUACGUCCAUGAAGGUAUGAUGCAAGCAUCUGUAUUAAUUGCUCUACCACGCCAGGAAGGCAGUUUUAGAGAAUCUUCCAUCACAUAUGAAGGAGAGUCAGCUAAUACAGAAGAUGAAGCAAUGGAGAAGGCAGCUCAAAUGGCCUUAGAAUGCAUUUGUGCAGACUAUAACAUUUCUGUUAAUGAUCACAAUUACUAUGCCCUUGAAGUCACAAAAGAAAGGUUGUUUACAGCAAGAGAGAAAGCUCAAACAAAGCAAUGGCAAUUCAACAUGGCUCGCCAACAAGUAACUACACAGCAGAAUGAAUUUGCGAGGCAAACAAUGAUCCUGGCAAAGAUAUGCAACAAUUUUUAUGAUAUACUACCACUCCGCAUGUAUCCCCAACGUCCAACAAGCAGUGACCCCAUAAUUACGUACACAGGCGCACACCGUCCCGUCCGACGUAUGGAAGAAUUUGCAAAGUCACUUUACCAUUUUAUCACAGGCACAAACCCUGUAGGAGGCUACACCAGAAUGAUCUAA